Long non-coding RNA from Leopardus geoffroyi (Geoffroy's cat), 370 nucleotides. RefSeq lists it as uncharacterized. NCBI's taxonomy places the organism in Eukaryota, Metazoa, Chordata, Mammalia, Carnivora, Felidae. The record is from RefSeq and is a predicted model, not a curated record. The transcript has 2 exons.
GGCAGGUGAGGAAGGUCAGAAGGAGAACCCAACAUAUACAAGUAUCCUAUAAUUGCCUCUCGUUACCUGGAGCAGGAGUACAUAAUUCUGGCUGCCCAUGAGACUUACCCAGAACCUUUACAAAGACUGGUGACAGGACCUCUCCUGAUAUUCUGAUUUCAUUGAACUGGGGUGUCGUUCAGGCUUCAAAGUUUUUUGGGUUUUUUUUGUUGUUGUUGUUAAGUUGCUUUAGGUGGUUCUAAUGAACAACUGUGGUUAAGAGCUACAGACCCAUGGAAAAAUACCAAAUGCCUUUAGCUAAAUAUGUAAGGCCGUCAUAAUUAUGUUAAUUUAUCAGAUACCAUGUUUUGGGAGCAGGAAAAUAAUAAAA